AAAUUGAAGAGUUUGAUCAUGGCUCAGAUUGAACGCUGGCGGCAGGCCUAACACAUGCAAGUCGAACGGUAACAGGAAGCAGCUUGCUGCUUUGCUGACGAGUGGCGGACGGGUGAGUAAUGUCUGGGAAACUGCCUGAUGGAGGGGGAUAACUACUGGAAACGGUGGCUAAUACCGCAUAACGUCGCAAGACCAAAGAGGGGGACCUUCGGGCCUCUUGCCAUCAGAUGUGCCCAGAUGGGAUUAGCUAGUUGGUGAGGUAACGGCUCACCAAGGCGACGAUCCCUAGCUGGUCUGAGAGGAUGACCAGCCACACUGGAACUGAGACACGGUCCAGACUCCUACGGGAGGCAGCAGUGGGGAAUAUUGCACAAUGGGCGCAAGCCUGAUGCAGCCAUGCCGCGUGUAUGAAGAAGGC
Molecule: ribosomal RNA, 418 nt
Filed under: Salmonella enterica
Lineage: Bacteria; Pseudomonadati; Pseudomonadota; Gammaproteobacteria; Enterobacterales; Enterobacteriaceae
Description: bacterial SSU rRNA
Rfam family: Bacterial small subunit ribosomal RNA
Source: RNAcentral